Molecule: ribosomal RNA, 494 nt
Filed under: uncultured bacterium
Lineage: Bacteria
Description: partial 16S ribosomal RNA
Rfam family: Bacterial small subunit ribosomal RNA
Source: RNAcentral
GGGGGGGGGGGGGGGGGGGGGGGUGGGGGCGGGGGGGAGGGUGGGGGGGGAGCUUGCGUCUGGGGAGGAGGUGCGGCGGGGGGAGGAACGCGUAGGGAACCUGCCUGGUGGCGGGGGAUAACUAUUGGAAGCGGUCGCUAAGACCGCAGAAUAGUAGAUGUUGCAUGACAUUUGCCUACACGGUGCAGUUGCAUGACUACCAGCUGGAGCUGCGGUGUAUUAGCUAGUUGGUGGGGGAACGGCUCACCAAGGCGACGAUACAUAGCCGACCUGAGAGGGUGAUCGGCCACAAUGGGACUGAGCAACGGCCCAGACUCCUACGGGAGGCAGCAGUAGGGAAUCUUCGGCAAUGGACGGAAGUCUGACCGAGCAACGCCGCGUGAGUGAAGAAGGUUUUCGGAUCGUAAAGCUCUGUUGUAAGAGAAGAACGAGUGUGAGAGUGGAAAGUUCACACUGUGACGGUAUCUUACCAGAAAGGGACGGCUAACUACGUG